CGCACAUUGCGCCCUUUGGUAUUCCAAAGGGCAUGCCUGUCUGAGCGUCAGUUUACCUUCACCAGCACGCUUUGCGGCAACGCAGAGUGUGCACGGGUGUGUUGAGCAGUGGGAGCGGUCGUUCCCUCGCUCGAAAGAUAUGCAACAAGUGGUGUAAUAGGUUUUGCCUCGCCGCUUUGUCUUUUUUGCAAUGUGGUAGUGUGGCCGGCUGCGAGUUAGCUCUCGCGCGCCGCCCACACUCGCAUUCAUUUUCUGUUUUGACCUCAGAUCAGGUAGGGUUACCCGCUGAACUUAA
RNAcentral lists this unclassified non-coding RNA (295 nucleotides) under Botryozyma nematodophila. RNAcentral describes it as "partial contains 5.8S ribosomal RNA, internal transcribed spacer 2, and large subunit ribosomal RNA". The record is from RNAcentral. Lineage: Eukaryota; Fungi; Ascomycota; Trigonopsidomycetes; Trigonopsidales; Trigonopsidaceae.